Molecule: ribosomal RNA, 275 nt
Filed under: uncultured bacterium
Lineage: Bacteria
Description: partial 16S ribosomal RNA
Rfam family: Bacterial small subunit ribosomal RNA
Source: RNAcentral
GCGUGUGUGAUGAAGGCCUUAGGGUUGUAAAGCACUUUCACUGGUGAAGAUGAUGACGGUAGCCAGAGAAGAAGCCCCGGCUAACUUCGUGCCAGCAGCCGCGGUAAUACGAAGGGGGCGAGCGUUGUUCGGAAUUACUGGGCGUAAAGGGAGCGCAGGCGGUUCAUUCAGUCAGGCGUGAAAGCCCUGGGCUCAACCCGGGAACUGCGCUUGAUACUGAUGAGCUUGAAAUCAGGAGAGGAUAGUGGAAUUCCCAGUGUAGAGGUGAAAUUCGU